CCUCUCUUUAGUUUUCUCUAUGAUUUUCUCUCUCUAAUUUUUCUCUACUUUAUCUUUCUAAAAAAAUCUCUUUUUUUCUCUCUACAAGUUUUUCUCUCUAGAUGUCUUUCCCUUCUAGAAUUUUUUGGAUCUUAGAAAGAUCCUCUAAUGGCCUUAAUAGAUCUUGGUGAAGAGAUUUUGACGAUUGACUAUCGGAUAGUUUAUCAAUUUUUACUUUGAUCAGAUC
RNAcentral lists this long non-coding RNA (226 nucleotides) under Elaeis guineensis (African oil palm). Its description in RNAcentral is "long non-coding RNA (EGUI_LNC049897)". Lineage: Eukaryota; Viridiplantae; Streptophyta; Magnoliopsida; Arecales; Arecaceae. The record is from RNAcentral.